CAGAGAAACCCUGUCUUGAAAAAAUAAUAAUAAUAAUAAUAAUAAAAUGCCUUCCUCUCCCAGAUUCUGAGAAAUUUAACGAAUUCUCCAGAGGUAACCCAGUCAACAAUGCUACCACCACAGACCAUGAAAACUAACUUAUUCCGUAGACAUUCUGUAUUUAUUUUGAUAGAAUUUUUAACAGUUGAACCCUAAUUUACUGGGUGUUGUGCAUGUGUUUUUUCCUGUUUGGUUUGUUUUGUGACAAGAUCUCAUGUAUCCUAGACUGGCUUCAAAGUCACUGUGUGGCCAAGGGGAGCCUUACCUCGCGAGUCUCCUUCCUCUGUCUCCUGAGGACUGGGGUUACAGCUGGGGCACCACCAUGCUUGGUUUCUGAGGAGCUUCUGAGAGCCGGACUGAACAGUGCCCUCAGAAGAAGAAAGCCACACUAGGGUCUCUCCCCAGACCAGAAGCCCAUGGUUUUCAUCUAGGCGGUAUCCAGCAAGCCUCAUCAGUCCUUCCGACUCCACCUCCACAGCACAGGCUUCUGGGCAUUCAGGGCCCCACGGUUGUACAGCAAGUACUGUUAACCACCAAGCCAUCUCUCCAGCCUUAAUCUUUUAAAUAGACCAAAGAAACUUGGCUUAGAACCUA
Molecule: long non-coding RNA, 633 nt
Organism: Peromyscus leucopus (white-footed mouse)
Lineage: Eukaryota; Metazoa; Chordata; Mammalia; Rodentia; Cricetidae
Exons: 2
Source: RefSeq, a predicted model, not a curated record